Raphanus sativus (radish) is the source of this 2585-nucleotide RNA transcript. It is a transcript of the gene named probable methyltransferase PMT18, with no coding region annotated. The record is from RefSeq and is a predicted model, not a curated record. Lineage: Eukaryota; Viridiplantae; Streptophyta; Magnoliopsida; Brassicales; Brassicaceae. The transcript is spliced from 7 exons.
GUGUGCUUCUUGCCUUUCUGCUAAAGAAUAGAGACCAAUUAUAGUUUUUAUACAAAUAUUUUACUUUUAUCAAUUUUUUCCCUGAUGGUGGUGGAUCCCUUAUCCUCGUGUUUCGAGCUCCACUAACCUUACGUACAUUUUUUUUAACAUUUUACUGAAUUUAGCUUUUAGUUUUACUAAAAUCAGAUAAAAGUUGCAAGUGUUUUGCUCAUCUCUACUGAAACAAGACUCAAGAAAUGGCGAAAGAGAACAAUAGUCAUCACCACGCAGAAGCGAAGAGAAAAAGACUCAUUUGGAUUCUCUGUGUAAGUGGGUUCUGCAUACUGUCUUACGUUCUUGGAGCUUGGCAAACCAACACACUCCCUUCUUCUUCCUCUGAGGUUUUCUCAAGAAAGGGAUGUGAUGAAACCAAGACUCAGUCAAAACUUUCUACUUCUUCUGAAGACGAGGAUGCGAGUCUCUCUUCUUCCUCUUCCUCUUCCUUGUCCUCCUCUUCAUCUUCAGAACCAGUUGAGUUAGAUUUCGAAAGCCAUCACAAACUCGAGCUCAAACAAAAGAACCAAACCAUAAAGUAUUUCGAGCCAUGCGACAUGUCUCUCAGCGAGUACACUCCAUGUGAAGAUCGAGAGAGAGGUAGAAGAUUCGACAGGAACAUGAUGAAAUACAGAGAGAGACACUGUCCUUCAAAAGAUGAGCUUCUUUAUUGUCUAAUUCCUCCCCCGCCAAACUACAAGAUUCCACUCAAAUGGCCUCAGAGCAGAGACUAUGCUUGGUACGACAACAUCCCACACAAGGAGCUAAGUAUCGAGAAAGCAAUACAAAACUGGAUCCAAGUCGAAGGAGAACGAUUUAGAUUCCCUGGUGGUGGCACCGGGUUUCCACGUGGAGCUGAUGCUUACAUUGAUGACAUUUCUAGACUCAUCCCUCUUACUGACGGAGGCAUUAGAACAGCUAUUGACACGGGAUGUGGUGUUGCAAGUUUUGGUGCUUACUUGUUGAAGAGGGAUAUUGUGGCUAUGUCUUUUGCUCCAAGAGACACUCAUGAAGCUCAGGUCCAGUUUGCGUUGGAACGUGGAGUUCCUGCGAUUAUAGGGAUUAUGGGAUCAAUAAGGCUUCCUUAUCCGGCCAGAGCUUUUGAUCUUGCUCACUGUUCUCGUUGUUUGAUUCCUUGGUUUAAGAACGAUGGUUUAUACUUGACCGAAGUGGACCGAGUUUUAAGACCGGGCGGUUAUUGGAUUCUUUCCGGUCCACCGAUUAACUGGAAGAAACACUGGAAAGGCUGGGAAAGAACGCAAGAGGAUUUGAAACAAGAGCAAGAUUCAAUAGAAAAUGCAGCAAAGAGUCUUUGUUGGAAGAAGGUUACAGAGAAGGGUGAUUUUUCAAUUUGGCAAAAGCCAAAUAAUCACAUUGCGUGUAAGAAACUUAAAAGAGCUCAUAAAUCUCCUCCAAUAUGCACCAAAGCAGUUCAACCUGAUUUCGCUUGGUACAAAGAACUGGAAUCUUGUGUAACGCCAUUGCCAGAAGCAAACAGUCCAGAUGAGUUUGCAGGAGGUGCUUUAGAGGAUUGGCCGGACCGAGCUUUUGCGGUCCCACCUAGGAUUAUCCAGGGAACUAUACCAGAGAUCAAUGCGGAGAAAUUCAAAGAAGACAAUGAGGUGUGGAAGGAGAGAAUAGCAUAUUACAAACACAUAAUGCCAGAGCUUUCACGUGGAAGAUUCAGGAACAUUAUGGACAUGAAUGCAUACCUCGGUGGAUUUGCUGCAGCAAUUGCGAAAUAUCCAUCUUGGGUUAUGAAUGUGGUUCCUGUGGAUGCGGAGAAGCAAACUGUAACGACCCGAAUUUUUGGUCAGGAAUUUUGUUAGCCGGCUAAGGUCCAAGCAAUACCAAAGACCCAAGUGUUUGCCUAUAAAUACCCAAUCCAGCUUUGUUUUCUCAGAAACAAGAAAAAGAAAUAAGAAAGUUAGAAAAGAGAGAGAGAGUUCAAGAGAAGGAAUGAGAAAUCUUGCAAUUGAGCCACCAGGAGUCAUCGCCGGAGCCACCGCACGCCAAGACCACGUCAAGCUCAUCACCACCGUUCGUUGUAGUCGACGAAUCCAUAGCCACCAGAAUCGUCGCAAUCGGAGCUCGGACGAAGCCGUACGAGCCCUCCAAAGUUUUGCCGGAAAUCGCCCUGCCACCACCGGACCACCGUUCUCCGCCGCCGGACCACCGCUGAUCCGCCGCCGGUCCGCCACUUCUCCGCCGCCGGACUGCCAUCGCCGCCGAUUUGGAGUCUAUUUGAGCAGCUGGAGUUCAUAGACAUCACUUUUCUUCAUUGCUAAGGUGAGACCGAUGAGCAGGAGUGAUCAUAUCGGACUAGUGCUACUAUUUGGGCUCGUGGGCUUUAUCGUUUUAUCGUUUUACCUUUAUCGUUAUUGGGCAUUUAGGCCUUCGGACUUCUAUCUUUUACGCUACUUUCUAUUUUCAGGCCUUCGGGCUUAUGUUGUUAUUUAUAUUUCGGAUUUGACUUUAUGGUAUUGUAUUUGACUUUAUGAUGUGACGUGGAUUUUAUUAUCCGUAUUAUUAUUAUUAUUUCCGCUGCGCUA